AUUUUCGGGGGGGAGUAUGGAAGGAUUGAAAGCAAUGACUAUGGUUUUUAUGUGCGUUUUUGCGGCAUUUUUAUUCGCUGUCCAAGCUGCAGCAAAGCCAAUCUCUCUUGAUGCAUUUUUCUUUGAACAAAUACAAGAUGAUAAAAAUGUUACUGGUGCUUCCAAAAUUUACACCAUUGAGACUAGUGAUCUAACAAAUACAACAAGAAGUGAAAAUGUACUUCAGCUCUCUUUUUUACAACAUAAUUUGUUACCUGGAGACAAGGUGACCUUCUAUGAUGGCAAC
Molecule: long non-coding RNA, 286 nt
Organism: Dendronephthya gigantea
Lineage: Eukaryota; Metazoa; Cnidaria; Anthozoa; Malacalcyonacea; Nephtheidae
Exons: 3
Source: RefSeq, a predicted model, not a curated record